GUGUCAUUCGUUCGUCGUGUGUCAUAAUUAUGAAUAUUGAACAAUUGUUGAGGGAUAAUGUCGCUUAAAUAAUCAGGGGUCUUAUUGUGAAACAUUUCAUGAAAUUUUAUAAUUUUGUGUUUUUUACGUCUUUCUGAUAGUAACUCCCAUCCUGUUUCGUCGUAUAAUUUAUUUAUGGACGAUAACUUAGUACCACCAGUAACUAUCCUAGCCGCUUCAAGUUGCAUAUUUUCUAGUUUGUCACUUAAAUAGUCUGGAAUG
This 261-nucleotide long non-coding RNA is filed under the name Mytilus galloprovincialis (Mediterranean mussel). Lineage: Eukaryota; Metazoa; Mollusca; Bivalvia; Mytilida; Mytilidae. The record is from RNAcentral.